CCGACGGUGAGGGGUGAAAGCUAGGGGCACGAACCGGAUUAGAUACCCGGGUAGUCCUAGCCGUAAACGAUACUCGCUAGGUGUCGGCAACGGUGCGACCGCUGUCGGUGCCGUAGGGAAGCCGUGAAGCGAGCCACCUGGGAAGUACGGCCGCAAGGCUGAAACUUAAAGGAAUUGGCGGGGGAGCACCACAACGGGUGGAGCUUGCGGCUUAAUUGGAUCCAACGCCGGAAAUCUUACCGGGACCGACAGCAAUAUGAAGGCCAGGCUGAAGACUUUGCCGGAUUAGCUGAGAGGUGGUGCAUGGCCGUCGUCAGUUCGUACUGUGAAGCAUCCUGUUAAGUCAGGCAACGAGCGAGACCCACGCCCACAGUUGCC
Molecule: ribosomal RNA, 378 nt
Filed under: uncultured archaeon
Lineage: Archaea
Description: bacterial SSU rRNA
Rfam family: Archaeal small subunit ribosomal RNA
Source: RNAcentral